CGGUUAGUCAGAUGCACUCUUUCUCCUAGUGGUAAAAAAAUAAAUACGAUACUCUGGAUAACCUCCCGGGUGAAAUGCUCACCGAUAUCCGUGCGCUUGCGGAUCAAUUCCUUAUUGCGUUCCCAAAUAUCAACAAGCAUUUCUGGCGCCGUUGCCGGGGAGAAAGACGGUUGCUGAGAUAACCUGUGUCUUGCUAUUAGCUUGUAUCUAUACUUUUAUCUUUUUUAUC
This 229-nucleotide long non-coding RNA is filed under the name Sorghum bicolor (sorghum). RNAcentral's name for it is "long non-coding RNA (SBIC_LNC006370)". Lineage: Eukaryota; Viridiplantae; Streptophyta; Magnoliopsida; Poales; Poaceae. The record is from RNAcentral.